UUUAUUUAUUUAAUAGUGCUUCAGAAGACACGUUACAGAAGAGUUUUUGGGUGCUUUCGGCAGGCCUUGUAGCGCCCCGCCCUGGGGCGGCCUGCCGAGGCAACACAUAGUUAAGUCCACAGUGGUUUGGAGUCUUGCAACUCAGUAAUGAUCCCUCCGCUGGUUCACCAACGGAGA
Molecule: unclassified non-coding RNA, 177 nt
Filed under: uncultured fungus
Lineage: Eukaryota; Fungi
Description: sequence contains ITS1, 5.8S rRNA gene
Source: RNAcentral